This 619-nucleotide ribosomal RNA is filed under the name Drosophila algonquin. RNAcentral's name for it is "eukaryotic LSU rRNA". It matches the Rfam family "Eukaryotic large subunit ribosomal RNA", at positions 158 to 654 of the family's 3401-position model. The record is from RNAcentral. Lineage: Eukaryota; Metazoa; Arthropoda; Insecta; Diptera; Drosophilidae.
AUAUUCUAGUAUGAGAAAUUAACGAUUUAAGUCCUUCUUAAAUGAGGCCAUUUACCCAUAGAGGGUGCCAGGCCCGUAUAACGUUAAUGAUUACUAGAUGAUGUUUCCAAAGAGUCGUGUUGCUUGAUAGUGCAGCACUAAGUGGGUGGUAAACUCCAUCUAAAACUAAAUAUAACCAUGAGACCGAUAGUAAACAAGUACCGUGAGGGAAAGUUGAAAAGAACUCUGAAUAGAGAGUUAAACAGUACGUGAAACUGCUUAGAGGUUAAGCCCGAUGAACCUGAAUAUCCGUUAUGGAAAAUUCAUCAUUAAAGUUGUAAUAUUUUAACAAUAUUAUAAUAAUAGUGUGCAUUUUUUCCAUAUAAGGACAUUGUAAUCUAUUAGCAUAUAACAAAUUUAUCAUAAAAUAUGACUUAUAGUUUAUUCAAAUUAUUAUGCUUGCAUUUUAACAUAGAAUAAAUGUCAUUAAUUUGAUAAAGUGUUGAUAAAUUAAAAUUAAUACAGUGCGUUAAUUUUUCGAAAUUAUAUAAUGGCAUAAUUAUCAUUGAUUUUUGUGUUUAUUAUAUGCAUUUGUAUGAUUAACAAUGCGAAAGAUUCAGGAUACCUUCGGGACCCGUCU